UACAGAGGUCUCAAGCGUUGUUCGGAUUCAUUGGGCGUAAAGGGUGCGUAGGUGGCUCCGUAAGUCAGGUGUGAAAUCUCGGGGCUCAACCCCGAAACUGCACUUGAUACUGCGGUGCUCGAGUACUGGAGAGGAGAUUGGAAUUUACGGUGUAGCAGUGAAAUGCGUAGAUAUCGUAAGGAAGACCAGUGGCGAAGGCGAAUCUCUGGACAGUUACUGACACUGAGGCACGAAGGCCAGGGGAGCAAACGGG
Molecule: ribosomal RNA, 253 nt
Filed under: uncultured bacterium
Lineage: Bacteria
Description: partial 16S ribosomal RNA
Rfam family: Bacterial small subunit ribosomal RNA
Source: RNAcentral